GUGAGAAUCCCGUAUGUGACCGGCGAUCAAGCCCAUGUGAAACUCCUUCGACGAGUCGAGUUGUUUGGGAAUGCAGCUCAAAAUGGGUGGUAUAUUUCAUCUAAAGCUAAAUACCGGCCAGAGACCGAUAGCGCACAAGUAGAGUGAUCGAAAGAUGAAAAGCACUUUGGAAAGAGAGUCAAAAAGUACGUGAAAUUGUUGAAAGGGAAGCGCUCGCAACCAGACCUGCCCGCGGCCGAUCAACCGUCCUUCUGGACGGUGCACUCGGUCGCGAUCAGGCCAGCAUCGGUUCGGGCGGCCGGAUAAAGGCCCUGGGAACGUAGCUCCUUUCGGGGAGUGUUAUAGCCCUCGGUGCAAUGCGGUCAGCCUGGACCGAGGACCGCGCUUCGGCUAGGAUGCUGGCGUAAUGGUUGUGAGCGGCCCGUCUUGAAACACGGACCAAGGAGUCUAACAUCUAUGCGAGUGUUUGGGUGUCAAACCCAUGCGCGUAAUGAAAGUGAACGGAGGUGGGAACCCAUUCGGGCGCACCAUCGACCGAUCCAGAUGUCUUCGGAUGGAUUUGAGUACGAGCAUAGCUGUUGGGACCCGAAAGAUGGUGAACUAUGCCUGAAUAGGGUGAAGCCAGAGGAAACUCUGGUGGAGGCUCGCAGCGGUUCUGACGUGCAAAUCGAUCGUCGAAUUUGGGUAUAGGGGCGAAAGUACGUAUUCAACCUUCUGUUACAUCGAAAUAAACAAAUGCUAAUAUCUUCUUCUAGGACUAAUCGAACCAUU
This 771-nucleotide ribosomal RNA is filed under the name Pyrenodesmia molariformis. RNAcentral describes it as "LSU rRNA". It matches the Rfam family "Eukaryotic large subunit ribosomal RNA", at positions 212 to 944 of the family's 3401-position model. The record is from RNAcentral. Lineage: Eukaryota; Fungi; Ascomycota; Lecanoromycetes; Teloschistales; Teloschistaceae.